GAAUAGCAGUAGGCUCGAUGCACUUGUAACGAAGAGUCGCGUCAAGUAUCAUUAUACCAUUUUUGCUGCCUUGACUUUUCAAGUUGCAAUUAGGAACUGCAAUAGUGAACAUUGAGGGACACGAGUGAAAGACAGAAAAACUGCAAAGUGACACCGAAAUAGGUGGUCCAGCUGUUGUCAGUCUGGUCUUCUCAAAGAUCAAGAAUGUUAUGCAAACAUAGAUCUGGAAAUUCCCGCCUUUGAAACAUUUAAAAUGGGUCUACAGCAAGAACAAGUAAAGGAUGCUUUAAUUGUUAACAAAUCAUUUCUUGGUCUUCUCGGGGAGGCGACCCCACUACGCUCGGAUCACGCCACCAUUCGCGCCUAUCAUCACAUAUGCCGCAUUCUUUUGAAACAACAGACCGAAAUCGACGUUUUUGGAAGUCGCUGCUUGGCGACAACUAUGCGCUCGUCGAUACAUUGUAUGCUGCUCGUCGGGUAGAUAAGGUGAUCCGCCAGCGACAUUAUAGGACCGCAAGCGACAUCCAGAAACGCGACCCAUACUAAAAUCUCGCAGCGUAAUAAAGCGUACACCUCCCUCUUUUUUUGAUACUACAUAUAUAUGUAUUAUACAUAAAUAUUAUAUUAUGUUACCAAUGAACGAAUAGAAAAUUUUAUUUUCACAAUAGUCAAGUAAAAUUAUAUAUAUAUCUAUUGAACUUUCACAAUUAGGCUUGUCCAACAAGUUUCAUAUAAAUAGGUAGACUGCAGAUAUUUAUGCAAAUUUAUAUUUUUAUGAAUAUAAUUGAUAGAGUAUAGGACAUGAAAAAAGAUUUGUUUCAUUUAUUAUAUAUAGUAACGUGCAUUAUGCUGGUUUUUAUUCUUACGCGUUGUGUUCAUUCUAUGAAUAGAUUUUUUCCCUUAAAAUUUCUCAUAAAUGCAUAAAAAUGCUCGGUCGAUCGACAAGUCUAGGUAAGUUUGGGUAUUAUAGUUGUGUUUAGAAGUUUUUAUGUAUAACAUUUUAAUCUUCAAAUUCAUUAGCGUUUCUGUAAAUGAUAAUAAAUAAUUCAUAACAAAACUCAUUUAAAAUGACAAUAUGCUAUAAAUUAUAACAAUCAUUCUGUCGGUAUUAAAAGGCAUUUCUUUAUCAGCAAAUUUUUCACUUGUAUCAUAUCAAAUAGAUAAAUAUAGACGUAUGUAUAAUAAUGUAUUUCUUCCUCAUUCUUUCUUGUUUAUCC
This 1217-nucleotide unclassified non-coding RNA is filed under the name Bombus terrestris (buff-tailed bumblebee). RNAcentral's name for it is "misc RNA ENSBTSG00005031241.1". The record is from RNAcentral. Lineage: Eukaryota; Metazoa; Arthropoda; Insecta; Hymenoptera; Apidae.